Molecule: ribosomal RNA, 141 nt
Filed under: uncultured Ruminococcus sp.
Lineage: Bacteria; Bacillati; Bacillota; Clostridia; Eubacteriales; Oscillospiraceae
Description: partial 16S ribosomal RNA
Rfam family: Bacterial small subunit ribosomal RNA
Source: RNAcentral
AGGCAGCAGUGGGGAAUAUUGCACAAUGGGGGGAACCCUGAUGCAGCGACGCCGCGUGAAGGAAGAAGUAACUCGGUAUGUAAACUUCUAUCAGCAGGGAAGAUAGUGACGGUACCUGACUAAGAAGCCCCGGCUAACUAC